RNAcentral lists this long non-coding RNA (1089 nucleotides) under Triticum aestivum (bread wheat). Its description in RNAcentral is "long non-coding RNA (TAES_LNC004884)". The record is from RNAcentral. Lineage: Eukaryota; Viridiplantae; Streptophyta; Magnoliopsida; Poales; Poaceae.
GAAGUCAUUCAUUUGUGAUGCCAUGGAAGUAUUGUUUGAAGUUUCCUUGCUGUCAAGACUUUUUUUUCAACAUCUAUGAGGUGGCAAGCAAGGUAACUGCAGUUCAUAUCAGGUAUAAUGUGAAUGUAGGUCCAUCAUCUCAUCAUCCUUUACGCCCUUUCUUUCCCUAAUAUUUUACAGCAAACCAACAGAUCAGCUAACCACAAGCUUAGUACGUGGUAUACUGCAUAAAUAUCUAGCUUGGUAGAAAGCAUGGUCAGUAGAGUGUUUUCUAACCAUGCACUAGCAGUGCCCACUCCAUGCUACUGUUAUGUACACAGACGAGAAGUUUGUUUGAGAAAGAGUAUGCUUGCUGCCUUUCAUCUAAUAUCAUAUGUUUCUGUUUCCUAUGUGAAACUGAUGGUUCACGUCUCUAACUUCUACUGCUUUAUAGCUUUGCACAAAAGUUUUUGUAACCAUGAUGCUGAUAUACCUAUGAUUGUUACUUCAUGUGCUACUACAUUAGUAGGGAGAUUUUUAUAAAGGUACCAGAAUUUAUCUUCUUCCACAUUAAGUCAAUAUUUAGUAAUGGAGUUCUAUUUUUGUUUGCAAACCAGUUCAUUCGUCGCAAGGAAGAAAAUCUACUCUGGAUAGUUGAUUUAGUGUUUCUUGAACAUGGCCAGGGCAAUGGAUAAAAUCUACUCUGGAUAGUUGACAGAGGGAGUACAUGCUAAGUUGACUUUUUUUCCUGUGGAUUUGCUUAUCGUGAAGAUGCUUGCAAGGAUGCAGAGGGAGCGGAUCAUUUGGAGAGAUAGGAUGCCACUGUUUGGUGUUUUUAUGCAUUUUGGUUUGCUUGUAACUGUGUUUGCACUAGCUGGGAGUAAGUGACUUCAAGAAGUGUAGGUGUUUUAAUUGAAGGCAUGAAAAGCCAUGACAAUAUGUAUGCUCUUACAGGAUGUGCUCUAAUGCUGCUGGUUUAUUAUAAAUCUUGGAUUAGUAAUGAUGUGUAAUGCUGCUGGUUUAUUGCAAAUAUGUGUUUGUUUUAGUUGGAAUUGUAUGCAUAGAAUGGAAUUGGUGGAUUUUAUUUUUUAAUUCCUAAUUAGUUAGUAG